This 5728-nucleotide long non-coding RNA is filed under the name Phoenix dactylifera (date palm). RNAcentral describes it as "long non-coding RNA (PDAC_LNC006659)". The record is from RNAcentral. Lineage: Eukaryota; Viridiplantae; Streptophyta; Magnoliopsida; Arecales; Arecaceae.
CAAUGACUUGUAACAACUUAAAUAAGUUAAAUGGUUAAACAUUGCCACCUCUAGCUUGGAGUUUGUAGAGUGGCAACUAAAUACAUUAAUCAUUGUAUUUGAGUGGCCACACUUGUAUUAGCUUUAUAUUGAUAAAAUGCUGUGCAUAUCCCCUACCAAGUUGAAAUCCUUGCAGCCAAAGCAUGAAUAACUCUACCCCCAUUACAUCUAAGAAAAUAGCUCCUGCCAAAGAUGCAUCAAAAUCUAAUUUAAGCACUCCAUCUAACUGAAAUGGAAGAAGAAGAAGAAGAAGGAGAGGGGUCACAAGUACCCAAACCAUCCCAAUGCCUUGCUAUGAUGCUGAGAUGUUGAGAUGACCUUGAGAUUACAAGCAGAAAGAAACUCUUUUGCAAGGUAGAUAUAGCUUUAGAUGAUAAAGCCUCUGUGCUGGCUUUCCUGCAGUCCAUUUUAGCUAGUAUAAAAAGGCUCUGUUAUGAUCUCUUUCUCAUAUCUCUGCUUGGUAAUGAUGGAAACUGAUCAUCCAUGGACUUCCAUCCAGCAUAAACCUUUAUCUGAAAAUUUUCUAAAAGGUAAAUUUUGUAAUUACGCAUCCUAAUAGAGACCUUUUUCGUAGUUUUGUUACAAAACGAUAUUAAUUAGUGUACCUUUAAAAAAGGAAAGUAUUGCCACAUGUCAUCCGAUCCUGUUAAUCACAACCAUCGGCUCAUCCAUGCGUACUCCAUGUAUUUAGAAUGGCAAUUUCGGUAAAUCUGCAUCAAUCCCAGCCCUUAUUUGUAAUUCCAUUUACCUAGUAAUAUAAAUAUACGAAAGUCCCUCCCCUUAUUUGUAAAUUUGUGUGUGUUUCUUCAUACAUAUCGGAUAAAUAUAUAUUUCUUGCUACUUUCCACUUUCUAUUUUCCAAUAAUCAUGCAAGUCUUGUUACUUUCAUGUUUAAUCAUUUAAUGUGGAGGGUAAUAGCGCAUAUCCUGCUGAUAUCUCGCCUCACCGAGAUCAUAAGCAUCAGCUCAUGCCCAAGGAGCCACUAUUCACGUCCAAAACGGACUCUCCCAUGCACACGUUAAAGGAAAUCUCAUUGCUAUCAUUAUCCCGUCCUUCUCUCCUGUAAUUGGUAUACAUAACUGGAAACAUUUUAAACCAGAUCCUAAAAAAAAGGAUCACAUGGAUCUCAUACUUGUAAAUGUAUACCUCACGUAUGAAAUAAAAUCUCAAGCAAGAGAUUAUUCUCCAAAGACCAGGUUACGUCUUUAUGGUAUCAGAGCCACCCACAGGUCCUACCUCCUCUCCAAUGGCCUCCAAUGGUUCCUCCUCCCAAUUCAUCUCUCCGUCCCAAUCCCCAACCCUUUCCACUCUCAAAAUUACCCCAACUAUCAAGCUCACGAGGGAUAACUAUCUGGUUUGGCGCGCCACUCUGCUUGCGGUCUUCAAUAGCCAUGCACUAACUGGCUAUCUCGAUGGCACCAUCUCUGCUCCGAGCAUCACCCUCGCUGAUGAUACCUCUAAUCCCUCUCACUCGAAAUGAUUCCGUAUGGAUCAGCUUCUCAUGAGCUGGAUCCUCUCUACUUUAUCUGAACCUCUUCUUCCAUUUAUUGUCAACUCGACUUCUUCUCAUGCUCUAUGGAGCUCUCUUGGAAAAAUGUUUUCUGCUGAAACAUCUGCUAGAGAAUUACAUCUCCGUCAGCUCUUAAAAGAUACUGUCAAAGGCGACAAUUCUAUCUCUAAAUAUUUUUAGAAAAUUCGAUCCAUCACUGAUAGUCUUGCUUCAUUAAACAACCUGUUCAUGAUUCAGAAUUGUUUCACUACAUUCUUGGUGGUCUCUCUAGAGAAUAUCUCCAAUUUGUUACUGCUAUCACAGCCCAGGGUCGCAAGCACAGCUUUGAGGAACUCUACAGCUUACUCCUCAACCACGAGUCUCAGCUGGAGCUUUUCCAAGCCAAAACUGACCCCAAGCAAAGUUUAUUCAUGGCUUCUCACCAGCGGCCACCUUCCUCUGGGUCGUGUCCACACUACAACAGAGGCAAAUCUAGGAACUUCUCACUGCGCCCUCCUUCUCACUCUUACUAUCAACCUCCUGCUCAUCAGCACUAUAGGGCUCAUAGCCGUCAUCCCUAUGGUGGUCACCAUUAUCAGGGCUCCUCCUCCAUGCAUCCGUAUCAGCAAGGAAUCAUGGGCCUAUGCCCUGUUAUCUGCCAGAUCUAUGGUGGGACGGGCCACUCUACACUAGACUGCUCUCACCGUAUGAAUCGGUCUUAUCAUCCUCCUGUUCAAGCUUAUGCGGCUGUGACUUCUCCUGCUAUUCAGGAUUAGGCAUGGUAUCCUAACUCUGGCGCCACAUGCCAUGUUACUUCUGAUGCUGGGCAACUUCUUGAGUCUACACCAUAUCAGGGCAAUGAGCAAGUGUGGGCGAUGGAUCAGCCAUAGACAUCACUAAUAUUGGUAACAUGACUCUCCACACCAACUCUUCUUCUUUCUUUCUUCCCAGAGUCCUUCAUGUCCCUUCAAUUCGCAAAAAUCUUCUAUCAGUUUCUCAGUUUACUAAAGAGCAUAAAGUCUUCUUUGAAUUUCAUUCUUGGGGUUUUCUAGUCAAGGACACUCAAACGCAAGCCAUUCUGGCUCAGAGACAUCUUAAAGGAAGUCUGUAUCAAUUCGACGGUCCUCCUCCACUUCAAUGCCUUGCCACCCAUGCUUCAUCAGACGUCUGGCAUCACCGACUGGGCCAUCCCUCUCUUCCAGUCAGGCGGCGGAUUUUCUCAUCAUCCUUUAUCACAUCUACCAGCUCGUCUCCAUCCUUUUGACUGCUUGUCCUCUUGGCAAGGCUCACAGACUACCAUUUUUUCUUUUUGAACCGUGUGUUUCUCGUCCUCUUGAAUUAAUAUGUUUUGAUGUCUGGGGACCAGCACCAGUUCUAUCUUCUACUGGUCAUCGUUUCUUUGUUAUUUUUAUUGAUGUAUUUUCUCGUUAUUGUUGGAUUUUCUCUAUGUUUCAUAAAUCUGAGGUGUUAUCUGAUUUCAUUUCCUUCAAAAAGGCUAUGAAAAAUCAGUUUUCUUCUUCUAUCUGCAUGCUUCAAGCUGACAAUGGUGGAGAGUAUGUUAACAAUAUUUUUACUACAUAUCUCAAAUCUCAUUGCAUCCAGCAUCGCACCACAUGCCCGUAUACUCCUCAACAGAAUGGGUUUUCCAAGCGGAAGCAUCGUCGCAUCAUUGAAACUGCUCUCACCAUGAUGGCCCAUGCCUCUAUCCUUUCACACUUUUGGCAGCCAGCUUUUCAGACUGCAGUUUAUCUUAUUAACCGCAUGCCAACUCCAGUUUUGGGGAACCGGUCUCAACUGGAAGUACUCUUUGGCAAAGUUUCGGUGUAUGACUCUCUCAAGAUAUUUGGCUGCCAAUGCUUUUCCUGGACUCGUCCUCUUAAUUCCAACAAGUUCGAGGAUCGAUCGAGACCUUGUGUCUUUUUGGGAUACCCAUCCAAUUAGAAGGGAUGCAUCCGCUAUGAUAUAUCUGGAGAGAGAUUUCUCAUCUCUAGACAUGCUUUUAAUGAAUCUAUUUUUUCCUUUUGUAGAUCUCAAGGCUAUAGGUCCCUCUCCCUCUACUAUACCCGCACCCUCCUCCUCUCUCCUUGUUCCCUUCCCACCCAUCCAUCACCACACGCCACCUCCUCUGCCCUCUCUCUUCCGCUAAGCCUCCUCCACCACCACUUCCUCUUUCCCUUCCCCUAAUCCGUCUUCCCAACCAACCACCCCACCAAGCUCACCCGACCACCACUUCUCCUCUCCUCAUAUUUCUCCACCACCUCAACACCAGAUGGUCACCCGAUCUCAAGAUGGAACCCGCCCUCCUCCUCCCUCCAGAUAUCUGGAUUUUCUUACCCUACGCCAUCCCAUCCCAUCUUGUUAUGUCCUUAGAUUCUCCACUAUUGACAGAGCCUCACAAUUUCAUAGAGGCUAGUAAAAGUCCUUCCUGGCGCGAUGCUAUGCUCCAGGAGUUUAAUGCCUUACUCAAAAAUUAGACCUGGGUUUUGGUUCCUCGCAUGCCAGAUAUUCAUAUCAUUGGAUCAAAAUGGGUAUACAAGAUUAAACAACGGUCUGAUGGCUUGAUCGAGCAGUUCAAAGCACGCCUUGUCUCCAAGAGCUUUCAUCAACAAUACGGUUUAGAUUAUGAGGAGACUUUCUCUCCUGUGGUCAAACCCACCACUAUAUGCCUCAUCAUCAGCCUGGCUAUCUCUCGCGGUUGGCAGAUUAGACAGCUUGAUGUUAAGAAUGCCUUUCUUUAUGGUGAUUUGUCGGAAACCGUAUAUAUGACUCAACCGCAGGGGUUUGUGGACGUUGAUCAUCCUUAUCAUGUAUGCCACCUGAAGAAAGCUUUGUAUGGCCUUAAGCAGGCCCCUAGAGGUUGGUUUCACAAACUAAGAUCAGCUCUUCUUCUUCUUGGUUUUUCACAUUGUUCUUUGGACUCUUCGAUGUUUGUUCAUCAUAGUGCCUCCACUCUUACAGUUUUCCUUAUAUAUGUGGACGACAUCUUGGUGACAGGCAAUGAUUCCAGUCAUAUUGAUCGUACCCUGCACCUUCUCUCUCAGCAGUUUGAUAUCAAAGAUCUUGGACCUCUCAAUUUCUUCCUUGGUAUUCAAGCCCAACGGAAUUCUGACGGUCUCUAUCUCAGCCAGCAAAAUUAUAUUUUAGAUCUUCUUUCCAAGUCCAAGAUACUAGAAGCAAAGCCCUGUUCUACUCCACUAUCCAUGACCACUGUUCUAUCUAAACAUGAUGGUGAUCUCAUUCAUGAUGCAACUGAGUACAGGAGCUUGGUGGGUGCUUUGCAGUACCUCACCAUCACUAGACCUGACAUAUCUUAUGCUGUGAAUCAACUCUGCCAACAUAUGCAAACACCAAGAACUCCUCAUUUGGCAGUAGUCAAACGGGUCUUACGUUAUCUUAAAGGUUCCAUACACAAAGGGCUCUUUUACUCAGCCUGUUCUUCCUCCACUGUUUCCAUCUUCUCUAAUGUUGACUGGGCUGGAGAUAAGGAUGAUCAUCGCUCUACCUCCGAUUUUUGUGUCUUUCAUGGAUCACAUCUAAUCGGAUGGUCGGUGAAGAAGCUGACUGUUAUCUCCAGAUCGAGUAUAGAGGCUGAGUACCGAUCACUGGCCAAUACUACUGCUGAAGCUGUCUAGAUCAAAAGGUUACAAUGUGAUCUUGGUCUUUCUUCUACAGAGCCACCGGUUCUCUUUUGUGACAACAUAAGUACUACUUAUCUUGCCUCCAAUCCGGUGCAUCACAAUAGAUCAAAACACAUAGAUAUCGAUCAUCAUUUUAUCAGAGAUUAGAUCACUCAAGGCUACAUCCAAUUGCGGUAUAUCACUACUCAGGAGCAAAUUGCUGAUAUUUUCACUAAAGCAUUUCUUUCUCCACGUUUUGGAUACUUAAGGUUUGGGGGGGGGGGGGGGGGGGGGAGGGGUGGUAAUAGCACAUAUCCUGCUGAUCUCUUGCCUCACCGAAAUCAUAGGCAUCAGCUCACACCCAAGGAGCCGCUGUUCACAUUCAAAACGGACUCUCCCAUGCACACGUUAAAGGAAAGCUCAUUGCUGUCAUUAUCCCGUCCUUCUCUCCUAUAAUUGGUGUACAUAACUGGAAACAUUUUAAACUAGAUCCUAAAAGAUAGGAUCACAUGGAUCUCAUACUUGUAAAUAUAUACCUCACGUAUGAAAUAAAAUCUCAAGCAAGAGAUUAUUCUCCAAAGAC